Molecule: ribosomal RNA, 400 nt
Filed under: uncultured bacterium
Lineage: Bacteria
Description: bacterial SSU rRNA
Rfam family: Bacterial small subunit ribosomal RNA
Source: RNAcentral
UCGAGAAUCUUCCCCAAUGGACGAAAGUCUGAGGGAGCGACGCCGCGUGCAGGAAGAAGCCCUUCGGGAUGUAAACUGCUUUUCUAUGGGACGAACAUUGACGGUACCAUAGGAAUAAGGGGCUGCUAACUCUGUGCCAGCAGCAGCGGUAAUACAGAGACCCCGAGCGUUAUCCGGAUUUAUUGGUCGUAAAGCGUCUGUAGGCGUCCUGGUACGUCCCUGGUUAAAGCCCGCCGCUCAACGGCGGAACCGCCGGGGAAACCGCCAGGAUAGAGGUUGUGAGAGGCAAGCGGAAUUGCCGGUGUAGUAGUAAAAUGCGUUAAUAUCGGCAAGAACACCAAAGGCGGAAGCAGCUUGCUAGAACACACCUGACGCUGAGAGACGAAAGCGUGGGGAGCGA